AACGCACAUUGCGCCCUCUGGUAUUCCGGGGGGCAUGCCUGUUCGAGCGUCAUUAUAACCACUCAAGCUCUCGCUUGGUAUUGGAGUUCGCGGUUUCGCGGCCCCUAAAAUCAGUGGCGGUGCCUGUCGGCUCUACGCGUAGUAAUACUCCUCGCGAUUGAGUCCGGUAGGUCUACUUGCCAGCAACUCCCAAUUUUUACAGGUUGACCUCGGAUCAGGUAGGGAUACCCGCUGAACUUAA
RNAcentral lists this unclassified non-coding RNA (241 nucleotides) under uncultured fungus. RNAcentral describes it as "sequence contains ITS2". The stretch from base 1 to 52 matches the Rfam family "5.8S ribosomal RNA", at positions 103 to 154 of the family's 154-position model. The record is from RNAcentral. Lineage: Eukaryota; Fungi.